UACUUUAGGGUAACUUAGACAUUAAAAUAAAAUUCAGUCUUAGUGUUGUAGGAAAAUCCAAACAAUUACAUGCUCCUUAACCUUUUGGCUUUUACAAAUGGAAGAAAAUGUUUUUAUUCUGACUCAGUAGCCUCCAAGACCAUUAAGAGAACGGGGAGAAAUGUUUAAAUGAGUGAUUAACCAGGUUUUUAUUAAUAGUGCUUUGUUGGCUCUCACAUUGUUUUCCUCUUGAUCAGUUAGCAAGAGUCAAAGUAAACGGUUCCAAGAAACACUGAAUUUGUUCAUGUUUGUCAGCGGCCCAAACAGCCAUAGUCUUUUAAUUUCUCCAGUUUGGGAAUUGCUGUACCUAAGUGCCUAGUUAUUUCUCAUUUCUUAGUUAAGUCUCAACUAAGGAUUUUUCUUUUUUUGCAUCUGUGUUAGUCUAAAAUUUUUAUCACCUUCAAUGUAUAUCACUAAUUUAAUUUUCUUUUUUUUUAAUUUUUUUUAGAAUUUUAGGUUUUUUUUUUUUAAGAUUUAUUUAUUUAUUAUAUGUAAGUACACUGUAGCUGUCUUCAGACACUCCAGAAGAGGGAGUCAGAUCUCGUUGUGGAUGGUUGUGAGCUGCCAUGUGGUUGCUGGAAUUUGAACUCCGGACCUUCAGAAGAGCAGUCGGGUAUUUCUUGAGCAGCAGUUAACUAUUCCCAUGAGCUGAACAAAGACUCAGCCAUGCAUGGUGGCACACACCUUUGAUCCCAGUGCUCAGGAGGCAGAGACAGGUGGAUCUCUGAGUUCAAGGCCAGUGUGGUCUACAAAGUGAGUUCCGAGACAGCCAGAGCUAGAUCCUUGU
This 826-nucleotide long non-coding RNA is filed under the name Mus caroli (Ryukyu mouse). RNAcentral's name for it is "predicted gene, 27010 (MGP_CAROLIEiJ_G0005047.1)". The record is from RNAcentral. Lineage: Eukaryota; Metazoa; Chordata; Mammalia; Rodentia; Muridae.